Nannospalax galili (Upper Galilee mountains blind mole rat) is the source of this 1926-nucleotide long non-coding RNA. RefSeq lists it as uncharacterized. The transcript is spliced from 4 exons. NCBI's taxonomy places the organism in Eukaryota, Metazoa, Chordata, Mammalia, Rodentia, Spalacidae. The record is from RefSeq and is a predicted model, not a curated record.
UUGGUCUGCGAUUAAAAGGCUGUUUCCGGUGGUUACUCACAAUGGAUCAGAUGUAGGACUUCCGGUGAAUACUGCUUCUAUUUCUGGUUUCCUGAGGGUGGGUUAGACCUACAUCUGCCCUGGAUGCCUGACCUCCCUGAACCCUGAGCGGACCACGUCUCUGCCUCUUUCAUGUGACUGCUUACAGUAUGUAUUAUUCAGCCUGGCAAAAGACCUUGGGUCCUUCUGUGUCCAAAGGCUGGCUGGGGUAAUCCAGGUUGGACCAGGAGCUUCUCUGGACAGGAGACUUGGCACAUGACUCAUGGUGCCCGUGUUGAACGUGCAGCCAGCACAGCUCCACUGCAAAUCUGUUCCCUUUACAUGGAAUGUUUAUUGGACACUUGUCAGCUAACUUACACUGCUCAGAGCCUGUUGAUAUAUCAGUGGUUAAAAUGGAUGAAUCCCCUGUGACUGCAGUAAGCCCGUGAGCCUUUAUCUGAGUCUCAAAACGUAGGUGGUUAUGCAGCAUCAUCUUUUCCUCUUCUUCUGGCAUUUCUAAGAAAACCUGGCUGUUCAAGGGGCCACGCUCAAUGCGCGGGAGGAACGUUCCCAUGAGGACAACCCAAGGACAUGUGAAGACUCCUCUGCAUCUCCCCCACUGGUCACAGCUUCAUCCUUCUUCUCAGUCCAGCCUGCUCCUUGGCAUGCUUCCUGGGUUGACUUCUGUCGAAGUUGGAUGACUGUUGGGGUAUUGGAUUCUGAUAGCCCUGGAUGCAGCCCAGCGCCUGCACUGCUGUCCAUGUUUGAUCUCCAGCUCAAUUUUCUGGAAGAAGUUGGCUGAACUAAGGAUCAAAGAUUCUGUUGCUUGCUUCCUAUUCUCCCCCAUGACAGCCGCUGUGCUAGGAGUUUAGCACAGCAACAGAUUAACUCCUCAACCGAUCAUCUGAUCAGAGUUUCUCACACUCUUGCGGAAAGUGAACAUGACUGGACACAAGGUUCAUAGGAUUUUUACUUCAUCUUCAGUGGACCUACAGGUAAAAACAAAGCUGCUUCUGUUCACACCCACAGACCUCCUGCGGGAACUGUAUAUUCCUGCCAUUUCCAAGUGAUUUUGCUUGUUACAUAAAAUUCUAGUAGGGAGUUUCCCACAAACACAAAGAGCUUGGAACUUUAAAUGCAAAAAACAUUCGAACUUCUUAACUUCCGAAGCGAUGAGACUAGAAACAAGAAUCUUCAGCAGUUAUGAGCUCUUCAGAACACAGGUGUAUUACCCUACAAGAACAUGUAGAUGAUGAGAUCCUUAUUGUCUGAUAAUAAGAUUUAAUUAGUAUUAUGCUAAUGAAAUGUGCUGCCUCUCCCCACCUCUCCCCACCUCUCCUCUCCAGUUUCCUAAGGGAGGCCAUCAUGCAGGAAAGACUCAAUUGUCAUCUUCCUAAUAUGUAUCCGCCACCACCAGCAUGUCUUUUGAGCCAGCAUUUUAUUUAACCUUGAGCUUUUUGGUCCUUAACAUGUUUACAGCUCACCUGUGAUUCUUGUUAAAAUGUUAUCUGCUGAUUCAGUAGGUUUAGGAUGGGGCCUCGGAUUCUGUAUUUCUGACCAGGAAUGUGGUGCUAAGGCUACUGGCCUUGAGAAUGCACUUGAAGUAGAGAGAAGCUCUGGAGGACCCAAAGAAUUUUCUUUUGUAUACCAGGAGAAUUUCCGAUAGAUUUUUAGCAUCCGUGUAAAUGGAAGAAUUGCUCUAUAAUGGAUCAAAAUGAAACUCUGCUGGUUGAAUGAGGACACAGAGCAGGAACCCUUGGUAGAGCCAAAUACACCCUUCUCCGUUGCUUCCUCACUCUAGACUUACUCCAUGAGGAGGACAACCACGGGCCAUCAUCAUGGUACCAUUGCAAAUAGAGACCACGCAGCUUGAAACCCAGGGUAUGCCUCUCAUAUUCUGUGAAGGAG